RNAcentral lists this ribosomal RNA (492 nucleotides) under Pseudomonas sp. 01WB03.2-17. RNAcentral describes it as "bacterial SSU rRNA". It matches the Rfam family "Bacterial small subunit ribosomal RNA", at positions 15 to 502 of the family's 1533-position model. The record is from RNAcentral. Lineage: Bacteria; Pseudomonadati; Pseudomonadota; Gammaproteobacteria; Pseudomonadales; Pseudomonadaceae.
GAUCCUGGCUCAGAUUGAACGCUGGCGGCAGGCCUAACACAUGCAAGUCGAGCGGUAGAGAGAAGCUUGCUUCUCUUGAGAGCGGCGGACGGGUGAGUAAUGCCUAGGAAUCUGCCUGGUAGUGGGGGAUAACGUUCGGAAACGGACGCUAAUACCGCAUACGUCCUACGGGAGAAAGCAGGGGACCUUCGGGCCUUGCGCUAUCAGAUGAGCCUAGGUCGGAUUAGCUAGUUGGUGAGGUAAUGGCUCACCAAGGCGACGAUCCGUAACUGGUCUGAGAGGAUGAUCAGUCACACUGGAACUGAGACACGGUCCAGACUCCUACGGGAGGCAGCAGUGGGGAAUAUUGGACAAUGGGCGCAAGCCUGAUCCAGCCAUGCCGCGUGUGUGAAGAAGGUCUUCGGAUUGUAAAGCACUUUAAGUUGGGAGGAAGGGCAGUAAAUUAAUACUUUGCUGUUUUGACGUUACCGACAGAAUAAGCACCGGCUAACU